AACGAACGCUGGCGGCAUGCCUAACACAUGCAAGUCGAACGAGACCUUCGGGUCUAGUGGCGCACGGGUGCGUAACGCGUGGGAACCUGCCCUUAGGUUCGGAAUAACUCCCCGAAAGGGGUGCUAAUACCGGAUAAUGUCUUCGGACCAAAGAUUUAUCGCCUUUGGAUGGGCCCGCGUUGGAUUAGCUAGUUGGUAGGGUAAAAACCUACCAAGGCGACGAUCCAUAGCUGGUCUGAGAGGAUGAUCAGCCACACUGGGACUGAGACACGGCCCAGACUCCUACGGGAGGCAGCAGUGGGGAAUAUUGGACAAUGGGCGAAAGCCUGAUCCAGCAAUGCCGCGUGAGUGAUGAAGGCCUUAGGGUUGUAAAGCUCUUUUACCCGGGAUGAUAAUGACAGUACCGGGAGAAUAAGCGCCGGCUAACUCCGUG
Molecule: ribosomal RNA, 433 nt
Filed under: uncultured bacterium
Lineage: Bacteria
Description: partial 16S ribosomal RNA
Rfam family: Bacterial small subunit ribosomal RNA
Source: RNAcentral